AUCAUCAAACAGUCGCACUUUACUCGUUAAUACAACUAUUUCUUAUCAUUUCGUAGAAUUUAUUAAUCUACGUCAAAACAAAAUGAAUUUCUACCGUGUUUUUAUUCUCGUUUUGGUCAUUUUCUGUUUAUUGAGUGGUCAAACUGAAGCAAAAUGGAAAGGAUGGAGAAAAAUUGAAAAGAAAGUCAAAAAAGUUUUUAAACAUACCAAAGAAGCUUUACCUGUUGUGCAAGGUGUUAUUGGAGUCGCCCAAAUCGUUGGUCGAUAAAAAUAAAUCAACUUAACUCGAAAAACAAAUUUAUAAGACUUAAAUUAAUAUAUUUAGUAUUAAGAAAAUGACCUCGUAAAGUAUUCUUUAUUUUAUUGUACAAACUUUUAAGCAAUAAAUUGUUCAAUCUACUUCA
Long non-coding RNA from Onthophagus taurus, 404 nucleotides. RefSeq lists it as uncharacterized. The record is from RefSeq and is a predicted model, not a curated record. Lineage: Eukaryota; Metazoa; Arthropoda; Insecta; Coleoptera; Scarabaeidae.